GAUGAAGAACGUAGCGAAAUGCGAUAAGUAGUGUGAAUUGCAGAAUUCCGUGAAUCAUCGAAUCUUUGAACGCACAUUGCGCCUCCUGGUAGUCCGGGAGGCAUGCCUGUUCGAGCGUCACCAAAUCCAACUCAAGCGGUUUUGCGCUUGGUCGUGGCGGAAGAGUCGGUCUGGUUGCCGUCUCCCCUCCGAAAAUCAACGGCGGAAAGUCACUGGCAGUCAGCGUAGUAGUAUCGUUUGCCGAACAUCCAGUGGCAUUCCUGCCGACGUACCCCCACAAUUCUCGUGAUUGACCUCGGAUCAGGUAGGGAUACCCGCUGAACUUAAGCAUAUCAAUAAGCGGAGGA
This 347-nucleotide unclassified non-coding RNA is filed under the name soil metagenome. RNAcentral's name for it is "partial contains 5.8S ribosomal RNA, internal transcribed spacer 2, and large subunit ribosomal RNA". The stretch from base 1 to 120 matches the Rfam family "5.8S ribosomal RNA", at positions 35 to 154 of the family's 154-position model. The record is from RNAcentral.